GGGGAAUAUUGGGCAAUGGGGGAAACCCUGACCCAGCGACGCCGCGUGAAGGACGAAGGCUUUCGGGUUGUAAACUUCUUUAGGGAGGGACGAAAAUGACGGUACCUCCAGAAUAAGCCACGGCUACCUACGUGCCAGCAGCCGCGGUAAUACGUAGGUGGCAAGCGUUAUCCGGAUUUACUGGGUGUAAAGGGCGCGCAGGCGGUUCUAAAAGUCAGAUGUGAAAGAUCAAGGCUUAACUUUGACAGGUCAUCUGAAACUUUAGGACUUGAGUAUCAGAGGGGAAAGUGGAAUUCCUGGUGGAGCGGUAAAAUGCGCAGAGAUCAGGAGGAACACCGGUGGCGAAGGCGACUUUCUGGCUGACAACUGACGCUGAGGCGCGAAAGCGUGGGGAGCAAACA
RNAcentral lists this ribosomal RNA (401 nucleotides) under uncultured Oscillospiraceae bacterium. RNAcentral's name for it is "bacterial SSU rRNA". It matches the Rfam family "Bacterial small subunit ribosomal RNA", at positions 356 to 774 of the family's 1533-position model. Lineage: Bacteria; Bacillati; Bacillota; Clostridia; Eubacteriales; Oscillospiraceae. The record is from RNAcentral.